Molecule: long non-coding RNA, 279 nt
Filed under: Phascolarctos cinereus (koala)
Lineage: Eukaryota; Metazoa; Chordata; Mammalia; Diprotodontia; Phascolarctidae
Description: lncRNA (ENSPCIG00000006627.2)
Source: RNAcentral
AUGCAUCUGGUCCACGUAGUAUACAAAUACAGGAUAAAGAUAAAUACCGGAAUCCUCAGUGCAUGUACAGGAAUAAGGAGCCCUCAAAAUAGUGUUCCUCCCUCCAACGUUCUUACCAGAGUGGGAAGACCUACCCAGUAGCUGUCCUGAAAUAGAAUCUGGAUGACAACGUGUCAUAAGAAACCAGAGAUUCUUAGAUGUGUUCCUGACAAAAGACCCACUAUGACUCAGUUCUCUUGGAAAAAUAAAUAACAAUGAAGUGGAAUAAAAAUAGACUCU